Molecule: long non-coding RNA, 680 nt
Organism: Bradysia coprophila
Lineage: Eukaryota; Metazoa; Arthropoda; Insecta; Diptera; Sciaridae
Source: RefSeq, a predicted model, not a curated record
UUCACCCACUACUUUUCUUCGUUGAAGAAUGUAGAUUGUGUUUAACGAAAAAAACAAUCCAAUUACUAGUGGCACGAUUACCAUUCCAAUUAAUGGAAAGUAAGGAUAUUUUCUCAAAGCCACCAACGAAGUCGCACUUAUGGAGAACAACCAUAUUAUAACGAUAGCAAUGACGAAUGGCAACUUUUUUCUGUUUUGUACCAGCUCUUUGAGUGGAAAUGCAAUUCCGUAGUAACGCUUGAAUGCAAUCAAUGACAUUGUGUAAGCACUUAUGAAUCCCGACAUUAUGAUUAUUGAGCCUAUAAAUCUACGGCAAUUAAAAGUGCACGACGACUCUCCAUAUAUUACGACUUGCAUUAGACAUGAAAGAAUAAACACUUCGUCACUCAGCGAUAUAUUAGCGUACAAAUAUUUGAUGAUCGUUCUUUUACCAAAUUUUUUGUUCGAAAACACAUAAAUGACAAUUAUGUUUGUGAAUGCUGAAAAUAUCGUCAAAAAGCUGAUGAUUCCUUGGACUGUACGAUGCAGAACCAUUUCCGUCGUUGUAUAAUCAUAUCGACCAAUAAUUAGCGGACCUAACGUUUCAUUCAGUGUGUUGUUGUUAUUGUCUUUACUAUGAAUCACAUACUCGGCCAUAUUUUCAUAUAAGAAAAAGUCUGCCGGCGCGGUAAUUAUGUUUU